UGGGGAAUUUUGGACAAUGGGGGAAACCCUGAUCCAGCCAUCCCGCGUGUGCGAUGAAGGCCUUCGGGUUGUAAAGCACUUUUGGCAGGGAAGAAACAGCCUGGGCUAAUAUCCCGGGCGACUGACGGUACCUGCAGAAUAAGCACCGGCUAACUACGUGCCAGCAGCCGCGGUAAUACGUAGGGUGCAAGCGUUAAUCGGAAUUACUGGGCGUAAAGCGUGCGCAGGCGGUUCGGAAAGAAAGGUGUGAAAUCCCAGGGCUUAACCUUGGAACUGCACUUUUAACUACCGGGCUAGAGUACGUCAGAGGGGGGUAGAAUUCCACGUGUAGCAGUGAAAUGCGUAGAGAUGUGGAGGAAUACCGAUGGCGAAGGCAGCCCCCUGGGAUGAUACUGACGCUCAUGCACGAAAGCGUGGGGAGCAAACAGG
This 429-nucleotide ribosomal RNA is filed under the name uncultured bacterium. RNAcentral's name for it is "bacterial SSU rRNA". It matches the Rfam family "Bacterial small subunit ribosomal RNA", at positions 355 to 776 of the family's 1533-position model. The record is from RNAcentral.